UAUAAGCUAAACAAAAUAACUGCUAGCUCAAUGCUGUCUACAAAAUGCCGAAAAAGACAUUCCUGAAAUUGUUUGUUUUUUUUCCGGCUCUGUUAUUUGGAGUCUUUCUGUUAACAUCAAGCACGUGUGAACAAAUGGAAACAAAAAUUGACAAGGUCUUUGAGAUUGUACAAGAAAUCCACAAAAAGUUAUAUACAGGUAUCCCAAAAGAAGUGGCUCAUAGCAGAUCAACAUAUCAAAGCUCAACAUGGAGACCUCAGUUUCCGUCGAGUUUGGCUGUUGAUGGAAGUCUUGAAACAAUACAACACACAGAUAUACAGCAAAACCCUUACUGGGUAUUAGAUCUUGGACAAAUGUACAGUAUCACAAGCGUAGAAGUUUACAAUGAACCAAAUGGCAACGGUGAACGAUUCCGUGAUGUAGAUAUUUUGGUCGGAGAGCGCCAUGAUAACCAUAUGGCGCUGUGCGCACAUUAUGUAGGACCAAGUCAUACAGAAGCCCAUCAUAUAUUCGAUUGUAACAGAGUUUUGAAAGGCAAAUUUGUGAAGAUAACAAUCAGGCAAAGAGCAUACCUACAUAUGGCUAAAGUGAAAGUGAAUGCUUUAGUGUAAUGCGAUAAUAUUAGAAAAGGAGCAACACUUGAUAUCCUUAUAAGGGCGUAUCGUUUUUUAUUUUGUUUCGCGUCAAUUUUACAUUUUACGUUAUUCUUACAUAUAACACAUAUAGAAAAGUACGCAUGGGUAUUAAAUUGAUUUAUUCCAUCAUCAAAAUAAUGAAUUAUUUCGUACAUAUAAAAAAAAGAAGAUGUGGUAUGAUUGCCAAUGAGACAACUCUCGACCAGAGAGUACACUACCUUGGUCUUUAAAAACUGCAUGAACAAAUACACAUAUUUAUUUUCAAAAGAUCAUCUAAAAUAUUUUUUGUGUUUUUUUAAUAUAAAAAAAAUUUACACAAACUGAGAAAAACUCAAAAUUUUGCCGAAUGUAUAAAUAACAUACAUUUUAAAUUGAAAUGCCACCGUAUGCCCAUACAUGUCAAUAGUUAAUAACAAACAUAACAAAACCAAUGAACACAUACAUAAUACAACAACACACUGCUGAGAUUCAUAUAAAAUAUAUGUUCAGUGAUUCGCUGCUGUCAGCUGUCUUAGCAACCUUUUAAGUUUUUUUUAUUAGCAUGCUGCAAUGUUGCAGCAAUAAAUAGAACUUUGCUUCAAUUUCAUAUAUAUGGUUGAUAUUAUGUUAUGUUGCUUUAAUAAAAGUCUUUUCUGUA
Long non-coding RNA from Mytilus californianus (California mussel), 1272 nucleotides. RefSeq lists it as uncharacterized. Lineage: Eukaryota; Metazoa; Mollusca; Bivalvia; Mytilida; Mytilidae. The record is from RefSeq and is a predicted model, not a curated record. The transcript is spliced from 3 exons.